UAGCAUCAGGGUUCCACCUCUUCCCAUUCCGAACAGAGAAGUUAAGCCUGAUCACGCCGAUGGUACUGCGUAACAGUGGGAGAGUAGGUAGUCGCCGUUU
RNAcentral lists this ribosomal RNA (100 nucleotides) under Bacteroides fragilis. RNAcentral also lists the same sequence under 1 other name. Lineage: Bacteria; Pseudomonadati; Bacteroidota; Bacteroidia; Bacteroidales; Bacteroidaceae. The record is from RNAcentral.